AUUGGACGCUGGCGGCAUGCUUUACACAUGCAAGUCGAGCGGCAGCGCGGGCUUCGGCCUGGCGGCGAGUGGCGAACGGGUGAGUAAUACAUCGGAACGUGCCCAGUAGUGGGGGAUAGCUCGGCGAAAGCCGGAUUAAUACCGCAUACGACCUGAGGGUGAAAGCGGGGGAUCUUCGGACCUCGCGCUAUUGGGGCGGCCGAUGGCAGAUUAGCUAGUUGGUGGGGUAAAGGCCUACCAAGGCGACGAUCUGUAGCUGGUCUGAGAGGACGACCAGCCACACUGGGACUGAGACACGGCCCAGACUCCUACGGGAGGCAGCAGUGGGGAAUUUUGGACAAUGGGCGAAAGCCUGAUCCAGCAAUGCCGCGUGUGUGAUGAAGGCCUUCGGGUUGUAAAGCACUUUUGGCGGGAACGAAAAGGACUGUGCCAAUACCACGGUUCGAUGACGGUACCCGCAGAAUAAGCACCGGCUAACUACGUG
This 484-nucleotide ribosomal RNA is filed under the name uncultured bacterium. RNAcentral describes it as "partial 16S ribosomal RNA". It matches the Rfam family "Bacterial small subunit ribosomal RNA", at positions 29 to 507 of the family's 1533-position model. The record is from RNAcentral.